Molecule: ribosomal RNA, 465 nt
Filed under: Vreelandella stevensii
Lineage: Bacteria; Pseudomonadati; Pseudomonadota; Gammaproteobacteria; Oceanospirillales; Halomonadaceae
Description: partial 16S ribosomal RNA
Rfam family: Bacterial small subunit ribosomal RNA
Source: RNAcentral
CCUACGGGUGGCUGCAGUGGGGAAUAUUGGACAAUGGGGGCAACCCUGAUCCAGCCAUGCCGCGUGUGUGAAGAAGGCCCUCGGGUUGUAAAGCACUUUCAGUGAGGAAGAACGCCUGGUGGUUAAUACCCAUCAGGAAAGACAUCACUCACAGAAGAAGCACCGGCUAACUCCGUGCCAACAGCCGCGGUAAUACGGAGGGUGCGAGCGUUAAUCGGAAUUACUGGGCGUAAAGCGCGCGUAGGUGGCUUGAUAAGCCGGUUGUGAAAGCCCCGGGCUCAACCUGGGAACGGCAUCCGGAACUGUCAAGCUAGAGUGCAGGAGAGGAAGGUAGAAUUCCCGGUGUAGCGGUGAAAUGCGUAGAGAUCGGGAGGAAUACCAGUGGCGAAGGCGGCCUUCUGGACUGACACUGACACUGAGGUGCGAAAGCGUGGGUAGCAAACAGGAUUAGAUACCCGAGUAGUC